Molecule: small RNA, 525 nt
Filed under: Pan troglodytes (chimpanzee)
Lineage: Eukaryota; Metazoa; Chordata; Mammalia; Primates; Hominidae
Description: retained intron
Source: RNAcentral
GCUAGAGCGAGGCUACUCACUGGUAUCAGGUGGUACUGACAACCACCUGGUGCUGGUGGACCUGCGGCCCAAGGGCCUGGAUGGAGCUCGGGCUGAGCGGGUGCUAGAGCUUGUAUCCAUCACUGCCAACAAGAACACCUGUCCUGGAGACCGAAGUGCCAUCACACCGGGCGGCCUGCGGCUUGGUGAGACCUGGGGUUUGAGGAGGGAAGGGGCUCCCAUGCUGGAUGACUGCCAGGUGACCUUGGGCUAUGCUCAUCCCUCCCCUUGUGCCUCGUUCCAGGGGCCCCAGCCUUAACUUCUCGACAGUUCCGUGAGGAUGACUUCCGGAGAGUUGUGGACUUUAUAGAUGAAGGGGUCAACAUUGGCUUAGAGGUGAAGAGCAAGACUGGUGAGUGAGCAAGAAGGAGCCCCGGGCCAGCCAGUUCCCACUCACUGUCUGCUCCCUCCCCCAGCUGAUCUCACUGCCUUCCCUAGAGCUCUGACCACUUGUUUCCUCACCCUCUCUCUCUAGCCAAGCUCCAG